CUACGGGUGGCUGCAGUGGGGAAUAUUGCACAAUGGGCGCAAGCCUGAUGCAGCCAUGCCGCGUGUAUGAAGAAGGCCUUCGGGUUGUAAAGUACUUUCAGCGGGGAGGAAGGGAGUAAAGUUAAUACCUUUGCUCAUUGACGUUACCCGCAGAAGAAGCACCGGCUAACUCCGUGCCAGCAGCCGCGGUAAUACGGAGGGUGCAAGCGGUAAUCGGAAUUACUGGGCGUAAAGCGCACGCAGGCGGUUUGUUAAGUCAGAUGUGAAAUCCCCGGGCUCAACCUGGGAACUGCAUCUGAUACUGGGAAGCUUGGGUCUCGUAGAGGGGGGUAACAUUCCAGGUGUAGCGGUGAUAUGCGUAGAGAUCUGGAGGAAUACCGGUGGCGAAGGCGGACCCCUGGGCGAAGACUGAAGCUCAGGUGCGAAAGCGUGGGGAGCAAACAGGAUUAGAUACCCCGGUAGUC
This 464-nucleotide ribosomal RNA is filed under the name uncultured bacterium. RNAcentral's name for it is "partial 16S ribosomal RNA". It matches the Rfam family "Bacterial small subunit ribosomal RNA", at positions 339 to 795 of the family's 1533-position model. The record is from RNAcentral.